This 427-nucleotide ribosomal RNA is filed under the name uncultured soil bacterium. Its description in RNAcentral is "bacterial SSU rRNA". It matches the Rfam family "Bacterial small subunit ribosomal RNA", at positions 965 to 1393 of the family's 1533-position model. The record is from RNAcentral.
AGAACCUUACCAGCUUUUGACAUGUCCUGGACGGAUUGCAGAGAUGCGAUCUUCCCUUCGGGGCCGGGAACACAGGUGCUGCAUGGCUGUCGUCAGCUCGUGUCGUGAGAUGUUGGGUUAAGUCCCGCAACGAGCGCAACCCUCGCCCUUAGUUGCCAUCAUUCAGUUGGGCACUCCAGGGGGACUGCCGGUGAUAAGCCGGAGGAAGGUGGGGAUGACGUCAAGUCCUCAUGGCCCUUACAGGCUGGGCUACACACGUGCUACAAUGGCGGUGACAACGGGAGGCGAAGGGGCGACCCUUAGCAAAUCUCGAAAAGCCGUCUCAGUUCGGAUUGCACUCUGCAACUCGAGUGCAUGAAGUUGGAAUCGCUAGUAAUCGCGGAUCAGCACGCCACGGUGAAUACGUUCCCGGGCCUUGUCACACCGA